AAGGAGGGAGGAGGAGAAGAGGAAGGGUCGCGAGCGGCGAGGAGGAGUAAAUGAGCUAGGGUUUCUGAGAAACUCAAAAGUAAUUAAAAAAGUGGGGGUCUAUGGGUACCUAUUUUGGGGGGAGGGAAAGUGACGGACAGAUGGGGGGAAAUGGACGUGGGGAAAUGGAUGAUUGUGGGAGGGAAAGGAAAAAAAAUAAAUUUGGGUGGGGGGAGUGGACGAUGGUGGGGACUGGGGAGGGAAAGGAAAAUAAAUUUGGGGAUGGGGGGGAAAUGGAUAAGGAAAAUAACAGAGUUAGGUGGACUCUAAUGGGAUUUUUUUUUUAAUUAGUAAAAUAAAUAAAAUAAAUAAAUGAGAUUAAAAAAUAAAAGUAAAUUUAGGGAGAGGGGGGGAUUUCGCAAAAUAAAUGUAAAUUUGGGAUAAUGAAAAAAAAGUGUAAGAUUUAUUAAUAUUAUUAGUAUAAAUUCAUUAUAAACUCUUUAUUUAUUUGUGAAUUUGAAUCAAAUUAAUUAAAAAUAAAAAUAUUUAUUUAAUAUUUAAC
This 541-nucleotide long non-coding RNA is filed under the name Eucalyptus grandis. RNAcentral describes it as "long non-coding RNA (EGRA_LNC001662)". The record is from RNAcentral. Lineage: Eukaryota; Viridiplantae; Streptophyta; Magnoliopsida; Myrtales; Myrtaceae.